AGAGUUUGAUCCUGGCUCAGGACGAACGCUGGCGGCAGGCUUAACACAUGCAAGUCGAACGCUCUCUUCGGAGGGAGUGGCGCACGGGUGAGUAACACGUGGGAACCUACCCUGAGGUACGGAAUAACCGUUGGAAACGACGGCUAAUACCGUAUGUCCCCUGUGGGGGAAAGAUUUAUCGCCUUGGGAUGGGCCCGCGGUCGAUUAGCUAGUUGGUGUGGUAAAGGCGCACCAAGGCGACGAUCGAUAGCUGGUCUGAGAGGAUGAUCAGCCACACUGGGACUGAGACACGGCCCAGACUCCUACGGGAGGCAGCAGUGGGGAAUAUUGGACAAUGGGGGCAACCCUGAUCCAGCCAUGCCGCGUGAGUGAUGAAGGCCUUCGGGUUGUAAAGCUCUUUCAGGUGGGACGAUGAUGACGGUACCACCAGAAGAAGCCCCGGCUAACUUCGUGCCAGCAGCCGCGGUAAUACGAAGGGGGCUAGCGUUGUUCGGAAUCACUGGGCGUAAAGCGCGCGUAGGCGGUCCUGCCAGUCAGGGGUGAAAGCCCAGGGCUCAACCCUGGAACGGCCUUUGAUACUGCAGGACUUGAGUUCGGGAGAGGGGCAUGGAAUUCCUAGUGUAGAGGUGAAAUUCGUAGAUAUUGGGAAGAACACCA
This 657-nucleotide ribosomal RNA is filed under the name uncultured bacterium. Its description in RNAcentral is "bacterial SSU rRNA". It matches the Rfam family "Bacterial small subunit ribosomal RNA", at positions 8 to 711 of the family's 1533-position model. The record is from RNAcentral.